Molecule: ribosomal RNA, 397 nt
Filed under: uncultured bacterium
Lineage: Bacteria
Description: bacterial SSU rRNA
Rfam family: Bacterial small subunit ribosomal RNA
Source: RNAcentral
GACGAACGCUGGCGGCGUGCUUAAUACAUGCAAGUCAACUGAACUUAAGGUAGCAAUAUUUUAAGGGAGGUGGCGCACGGGUGAGUAACACGUAGGUAAUCUGCCUUUAGGUCUGACAUAAUUCCGCGAAAGCGGGACUAAUAUCAGAUGAUGCAGCGGCUCGACAUCGAGACAGUUGUUAAACCUUCGGGGCCUAAAGAUGAGCCUGCGUCUGAUUAGGUAGUUGGCGGAGUAAAAGCCCACCAAGCCUGCGAUCAGUAGCUGGUCUGAGAGGAUGAUCAGCCACACUGGAACUGAGACACGGUCCAGACUCCUACGGGAGGCAGCAGUAAGGAAUAUUGCUCAAUGGCCGAAAGGCUGAAGCAGCAACGCCGCGUGGAGGAUGAAAUACUUUUGU